Molecule: ribosomal RNA, 467 nt
Filed under: uncultured bacterium
Lineage: Bacteria
Description: partial 16S ribosomal RNA
Rfam family: Bacterial small subunit ribosomal RNA
Source: RNAcentral
ACGAACGCUGGCGGCGUGCUUAACACAUGCCAGUCGAACGGAAAGGCCCUGCUUUUGUGGGGUGCUCGAGUGGCGAACGGGUGAGUAACACGUGAGUAACCUGCCCUUGACUUUGGGAUAACUUCAGGAAACUGGGGCUAAUACCGGAUAGGAGCUCCUGCUGCCUGGUGGGGGUUGGAAAGUUUCGGCGGUUGGGGAUGGACUCGCGGCUUAUCAGCUUGUUGGUGGGGUAGUGGCUUACCAAGGCUUUGACGGGUAGCCGGCCUGAGGGGGUGACCGGCCACAUUGGGACUGAGAUACGGCCCAGACUCCUACGGGAGGCAGCAGUGGGGAAUAUUGCACAAUGGGCGGAAGCCUGAUGCAGCAACGCCGCGUGCGGGAUGACGGCCUUCGGGUUGUAAACCGCUUUCGCCUGUGACGAAGCGUGAGUGACGGUAAUGGGUAAAGAAGCACCGGCUAACUACGUG